RNAcentral lists this ribosomal RNA (27 nucleotides) under Apinagia longifolia. RNAcentral's name for it is "partial 26S ribosomal RNA". The record is from RNAcentral. Lineage: Eukaryota; Viridiplantae; Streptophyta; Magnoliopsida; Malpighiales; Podostemaceae.
UGACCCCAGGUCAGGCGGGAUUACCCG